This 446-nucleotide ribosomal RNA is filed under the name uncultured bacterium. Its description in RNAcentral is "bacterial SSU rRNA". It matches the Rfam family "Bacterial small subunit ribosomal RNA", at positions 331 to 792 of the family's 1533-position model. The record is from RNAcentral.
CCAGACUCCUACGGGAGGCAGCAGUGGGGAAUAUUGCGCAAUGGGGGCAACCCUGACGCAGCAACGCCGCGUGCAGGAAGAAGGUCUUCGGAUUGUAAACUGUUGUCGCAGGGGAAGAAGACAGCGACGGUACCCUGUGAGAAAGUCACGGCUAACUACGUGCCAGCAGCCGCGGUAAUACGGAGGAUGCGAGCGUUAUCCGGAUUUAUUGGGUUUAAAGGGUGCGCAGGCGGAGGUGCAAGUCAGCGGUCAAAUUGCGGGGCUCAACCCCGUACUGCCGUUGAAACUGCAUCCCUUGAGUGCGCGAGAAGUAUGCGGAAUGCGUGGUGUAGCGGUGAAAUGCAUAGAUAUCACGCAGAACUCCGAUUGCGAAGGCAGCAUACCGGCGCGCAACUGACGCUCAUGCACGAAAGCGUGGGUAUCGAACAGGAUUAGAUACCCCCGUA